RNAcentral lists this ribosomal RNA (253 nucleotides) under uncultured bacterium. RNAcentral describes it as "partial 16S ribosomal RNA". It matches the Rfam family "Bacterial small subunit ribosomal RNA", at positions 524 to 776 of the family's 1533-position model. The record is from RNAcentral.
GACGUAGGGCGCGAGCGUUGUCCGGAUUUAUUGGGCGUAAAGAGCUCGUAGGCGGCUCGUUGCGUCGGCUGUGAAAACCCGCAGCUCAACUGUGGGCUUGCAGCUGAUACGGGCGGGCUGGGAUUCGGUAGGGGAGACUGGAAUUCCUGGUGUAGCGGUGAAAUGCGCAGAUAUCAGGAGGAACACCGGUGGCGAAGGCGGCGACCUGGUUCGAUACUGACACUGAGGUGCGAAAGCGUGGGGAGCAAACAGG